Molecule: ribosomal RNA, 169 nt
Filed under: Phlebia sp.
Lineage: Eukaryota; Fungi; Basidiomycota; Agaricomycetes; Polyporales; Meruliaceae
Description: partial large subunit ribosomal RNA
Rfam family: Eukaryotic large subunit ribosomal RNA
Source: RNAcentral
CGGGAAAAGCUCAAAUUUAAAAUCUGGCGGUCUUCGAUCGGCCGAGUUGUAGUCUGGAGAAGUGUCUUCCGCGCUGGCCCGUGUACAAGUCUCUUGGAACAGAGCGUCAUAGAGGGUGAGAAUCCCGUCUUUGACACGGACUACCAGUGCUUUGUGAUGCGCUCUCAAA